This 156-nucleotide ribosomal RNA is filed under the name Triticum aestivum (bread wheat). RNAcentral's name for it is "partial small subunit ribosomal RNA". Lineage: Eukaryota; Viridiplantae; Streptophyta; Magnoliopsida; Poales; Poaceae. The record is from RNAcentral.
AUGAUAUGGGUCGCCCCUUCUUCUUGCGCCAAAGAUCUUACCAUUUCCGAAGGAACUGGGGCUACAUUUCUUUUCAAUUUCCAUUCAAGAGUUUCUAUCUGUUUCCACGCCCUUUUCUUGAGACCUCGAAACAUGAGGACAAAUUACUUCUCUUAG